GAUGAGCCCAAGUUGAGAUUAGCUUGUUGGUGAGGUAAAGGCUCACCAAGGCGACGAUCUAUAGCUGGUCUGAGAGGAUGAUCAGCCACAUUGGGACUGAGACACGGCCCAAACUCCUACGGGAGGCAGCAGUGGGGAAUAUUGCACAAUGGGGGGAACCCUGAUGCAGCCAUGCCGCGUGUGUGAAGAAGGCCUUCGGGUUGUAAAGCACCUUUCAGUUGUGAGGAAAGCAUAAUGGUUAAUACCCAUUAUGUGUGACGUUAGCAACAGAAGAAGGACCGGCUAACUCCGUGCCAGCAGCCGCGGUAAUACGGAGGGUGCAAGCGUUAAUCGGAAUUACUGGGCGUAAAGCGCGCGUAGGUGGCCUGUUAAGCAGGAUGUGAAAGCCCCGGGCUCAACCUGGGAACUGCAUUUCGAACUGGCAGACUAGAGUAUGGUAGAGGUGAGUGGAAUUUCCUGUGUAGCGGUGAAAUGCGUAGAUAUAGGAAGGAAUACCAGUGGCGAAGGCGGCCACCUGGCUUGAUACUGACGCUGAGGUGCGAAAGCGUGGGGAGCGAACAGGAUUAGAUACCCUGGUAGUCCACGCCGUAAACGAUGUCAACUAGCCGUUUGUGUCCUUGAGACGUGAGUGGCGCAGCUAACGCACUAAGUUGACCGCCUGGGGAGUACGGCCGCAAGGUUAAAACUCAAAUGAAUUGACGGGGGCCCGCACAAGCGGUGGAGCAUGUGGUUUAAUUCGAUGCAACGCGAAGAACCUUACCAUCCCUUGACAUCCAGAGAAGCGACUAGAGAUAGACGUGUGCCUUCGGGAACUCUGUGACAGGUGCUGCAUGGCUGUCGUCAGCUCGUGUUGUGAAAUGUUGGGUUAAGUCCCGCUACGAGCGCAACCCCUAUCCUUAUUUGCCAGCGUGUUAUGGCGGGAACUCUAAGGAGACUGCCGGUGAUAAACCGGAGGAAGGUGGGGACGACGUCAAGUCAUCAUGGCCCUUACGGGAUGGGCUACACACGUGCUACAAUGGCAGGUACAGAGGGCAGCAACACCGCUAGGUGGAGCGAAUCCCAGAAAGUCCGUCGUAGUCCGGAUCGGAGUCUGCAACUCGACUCCGUGAAGUCGGAAUCGCUAGUAAUCGUGGAUCAGAAUGCCACGGUGAAUACGUUCCCGGGCCUUGUACACACCGCCCGUCACACCAUGGGAGUGGGUUGCAAAAGAAGUGGCUAGUUUAACCUUCGGGAGGACGGUCACCACUUUGUGA
Molecule: ribosomal RNA, 1253 nt
Filed under: uncultured prokaryote
Description: partial 16S ribosomal RNA
Rfam family: Bacterial small subunit ribosomal RNA
Source: RNAcentral